RNAcentral lists this long non-coding RNA (1190 nucleotides) under Equus caballus (horse). RNAcentral's name for it is "lncRNA (ENSECAG00000058703.1)". Lineage: Eukaryota; Metazoa; Chordata; Mammalia; Perissodactyla; Equidae. The record is from RNAcentral.
UGAAAAAAAUGUUCAAAUUGCUGUAUAUUAUUUACAGACACAAAAAAAGAAAGGAAGAAAAUAACAUGGUGUCUAAGAAUAGGGAAAUAAUUAGACAAACGAUGGUACAUAGAUGAAAUAGUAUACAGCAUUUUAAAAUAUGUCAUAAGGAAUUCUUGAUGUCUUGAGGAAAUGUUUAUCUUAUAACGUUAAGUGAAAAUAAAACAGAUUACAAAGCAGCAUGCAGUAUCAUCCGUGUUGAGAGGGCUAUUACUUCCCUGUGCAGACGCUGGCUUGGUGCUGAUUCCAUGCCCAGGAUGGCUGCAUAGAAUGGCCAAGAUUUAAAUACAGCUGACACAACUGGAGCGAGCAGACACAACUGGAGCGAGCAUUUACUGUUCUUGUCUAACAAGUGUUCCUCUGCCUUCAUUUGGUUGUAAAAACACUCUUUCCUCUGAGGAACCCCUGACGUGAGGGUGGCUGCCGGAUCAGGCUUGGUCAGUUGGAGCACCCCAUCUUCCUGCUUCGGUGAUUGGAUCUUGGCGAACAGUGAUCAGCCCAGGACAGAGUUCUCCCAGGACCUUGGGAAAGAGGCACUCUUUCACUGGGGGUGCUAACCUGCUGGUAGGAUGGGAGGCUGGAGCAACUGGGGCCAUUGGUUCCCUCUGGAGAGGACUUGACUGAGUAUCAGACCCAAUUGAGGCAGCAGAACCGGGGCAUGGCGUGGAGAGAGACAGACAGACAGAACUGCGGCACUUUCAUUAAAGACCCGGCUGCAGACAGACCUUGCAUAAAGCUACAUUCAACCCUUGAAAUUCACAAGUAAGGUGAGCCAAGAAAUUUCCUUUUCAGCAUCAGUUUGAGUUGUGUCUUAUCACUUCCCAUCAAAAUAAUCCUGUUGAAAAAGGACUUUGGGGUUUUAGCUGCUUAGUUGUGGGCUAUCUGUGAUUGGUUGCUAACAUGAACUAAUACAGUAUUAGUUUGCACUAACCAACGUACCACAUCCAGGAAGUGGACCAACCUGAUCUAAUUAGUGAAAAACCACACAUAGCUGGGUUUUGGACACCACACUCCAUGGAGGGGACUGGUGAGCCAGCAGUGUCUGCAGGAGAGCGAAUGAUGAGGGGACUCAAGGUCACAAAACUGGAAAAAUGGAUGGAAGAACCAUGGCCACCUGACUUGGAGGAAGAAAGUACGAUAGGAAAGCAGCC